RNAcentral lists this small nuclear RNA (23 nucleotides) under Arabidopsis thaliana (thale cress). RNAcentral's name for it is "snRNA_03170". Lineage: Eukaryota; Viridiplantae; Streptophyta; Magnoliopsida; Brassicales; Brassicaceae. The record is from RNAcentral.
UUAUAAGAUUGUUCGUCUUGUUU